GAUGAACGCUGGCGGCGUGCCUAAUACAUGCAAGUCGAGCGAACAGACGAGGAGCUUGCUCCUCUGACGUUAGCGGCGGACGGGUGAGUAACACGUGGAUAACCUACCUAUAAGUCUGGGAUAACUUCGGGAAACCGAGCUAAUACCGGAUAAUAUAUUGAACCGCAUGGUUCAAUAGUGAAAGACGGUUUUGCUGUCACUUAUAGAUGGAUCCGCGCCGCAUUAGCUAGUUGGUAAGGUAACGGCUUACCAAGGCGACGAUGCGUAGCCGACCUGAGAGGGUGAUCGGCCACACUGGAACUGAGACACGGUCCAGACUCCUACGGGAGGCAGCAGUAGGGAAUCUUCCGCAAUGGGCGAAAGCCUGACGGAGCAACGCCGCGUGAGUGAUGAAGGUCUUCGGAUCGUAAAACUCUGUUAUUAGGGAAGAACAAAUGUGUAAGUAACUAUGCACGUCUUGACGGUACCUAAUCAGAAAGCCACGGCUAACUACGUG
Molecule: ribosomal RNA, 496 nt
Filed under: uncultured bacterium
Lineage: Bacteria
Description: partial 16S ribosomal RNA
Rfam family: Bacterial small subunit ribosomal RNA
Source: RNAcentral